CCUACGGGAGGCAGCAGUAGGGAAUUUUCCACAAUGGGCGAAAGCCUGAUGGAGCAAUACCGCGUGCAGGAUGAAGGCCUUCGGGUCGUAAACUGCUUUUAUGUGCGAAGAAUUUGACGGUAACACAUGAAUAAGGAUCGGCUAACUACGUGCCAGCAGCCGCGGUCAUACGUAGGAUCCAAGCGUUAUCCGGAAUUACUGGGCGUAAAGAGUUGCGUAGGUGGCAUUAUAAGUGGAGCGUGAAAGCGUGCGGCUCAACCGCAUUAUUGCGUUCCAAACUGUGAAGCUUGAGUAUGGGAGAGGUAGAUGGAAUUUCUAGUGUAGGAGUGAAAUCCGUAGAUAUUAGAAGGAACACCGAUGGCGUAGGCAGUCUACUGGCCCAUUACUGACACUAAGGCACGAAAGCGUGGGGAGCAAACGGGAUUAGAUACCCCGGUAGUCCACGCUGUAAACUAUGGAUGCUAGCUGUGACACACAUCGACCUGUGUCGUAGCGAAGUUAACGCGUUAAGCAUCCGCCGUCGGGAGGUACGGUCGCGAGAUACAAACACGAAGAAGUAGACGGCGUGAGACGUGCCGACGGACGACGACGAGGGAGGAGG
RNAcentral lists this ribosomal RNA (601 nucleotides) under uncultured bacterium. Its description in RNAcentral is "bacterial SSU rRNA". It matches the Rfam family "Bacterial small subunit ribosomal RNA", at positions 338 to 951 of the family's 1533-position model. The record is from RNAcentral.